RNAcentral lists this non-coding RNA (20 nucleotides) under Arabidopsis thaliana (thale cress). The record is from RNAcentral. Lineage: Eukaryota; Viridiplantae; Streptophyta; Magnoliopsida; Brassicales; Brassicaceae.
GGCACGUCUGCCUGGGUGUC